UUAGACAGGAAAGGGAAUGCUGGCCUGCUU
RNAcentral lists this non-coding RNA (30 nucleotides) under Rattus norvegicus (Norway rat). The record is from RNAcentral. Lineage: Eukaryota; Metazoa; Chordata; Mammalia; Rodentia; Muridae.